Molecule: ribosomal RNA, 253 nt
Filed under: uncultured bacterium
Lineage: Bacteria
Description: partial 16S ribosomal RNA
Rfam family: Bacterial small subunit ribosomal RNA
Source: RNAcentral
UACGUAGGGGGCAAGCGUUGUCCGGAAUCAUUGGGCGUAAAGAGCGCGUAGGCGGCCCUGUAAGUCCGCUGUGAAAGUCAAGGGCUCAACCCUUGGAUGCCGGUGGAUACUGCAGGGCUAGAGUCCGGAAGAGGCGAGUGGAAUUCCUGGUGUAGCGGUGAAAUGCGCAGAUAUCAGGAGGAACACCGGUGGCGAAGGCGGGUCUCUGGGCAACUACUGACGCUGAGGAGCGAAAGCGUGGGGAGCGAACAGG